Pelodiscus sinensis (Chinese soft-shelled turtle) is the source of this 240-nucleotide non-coding RNA. NCBI's taxonomy places the organism in Eukaryota, Metazoa, Chordata, Testudines, Trionychidae. The record is from RefSeq and is a predicted model, not a curated record.
UCUCUCUGACAGGCCAACCCUGCUCCCAUCAUCGUGAACACGGACUCCUUGGAGCCAGGGAUCUCCGUGAAUGGCAGCGAUGGCAUGUUCAAGUACGAGGAGAUUGUCUUGGAACGGGGGAACUCUGGCCUUGGCUUCAGCAUCUGGGGGGGGAUCGACAACCCCCACGUCCCCGACGACCCAGGGAUAUUCAUCACCAAGAUCAUCCCUGGGGGCGCCGCGGCAAUGGACGGCCGCCUG